UUUCCUACGGGGGGCAGCAGUGAGGAAUAUUGGUCAAUGGGCUUACGCCUGAACCAGCCAAGUCGCGUGAGGGAAGACUGCCCUAUGGGUUGUAAACCUCUUUUGUCAGGGAGCAACGCCGGCUACGUGUAGCCGGACUGAGAGUACCUGAAGAAAAAGCAUCGGCUAACUCCGUGCCAGCAGCCGCGGUAAUACGGAGGAUGCGAGCGUUAUCCGGAUUUAUUGGGUUUAAAGGGUGCGUAGGCGGGACCUUAAGUCAGCGGUAAAAUUGCGGUGCUCAACGCCGUAGAGCCGUUGAAACUGGG
This 305-nucleotide ribosomal RNA is filed under the name uncultured bacterium. Its description in RNAcentral is "bacterial SSU rRNA". It matches the Rfam family "Bacterial small subunit ribosomal RNA", at positions 335 to 637 of the family's 1533-position model. The record is from RNAcentral.